ACAAACUUGGUCAUUUAGAGGAAGUAAAAGUCGUAACAAGGUUUCCGUAGGUGAACCUGCGGAAGGAUCAUUAGUGAAGUUUGGGUGUCUCGUCAGAGAGCCCGUCUUUCCACGUUUUUCAACCCUGUGCACUUGUCGUCAGUGCGGGUCUCUUCUCCCUCUGACCCGCCUGAUUAGGAGCCCUUCAUUUAUUUAAAAAAUUUAUUUUUUUUUUUUAAACGCAAGUGAAUGAAUGUUAAACUAUGAUGGUGUAUAACCAAGAACCAAAUAAAACUUUCAACAACGGAUCUCUUGGCUCUCACAUCGAUGAAGAACGCAGC
This 320-nucleotide unclassified non-coding RNA is filed under the name uncultured fungus. RNAcentral describes it as "partial contains small subunit ribosomal RNA, internal transcribed spacer 1, and 5.8S ribosomal RNA". The stretch from base 1 to 73 matches the Rfam family "Eukaryotic small subunit ribosomal RNA", at positions 1759 to 1831 of the family's 1831-position model. Lineage: Eukaryota; Fungi. The record is from RNAcentral.